ACACUUACCUGGCAAAGGAGAUACCAUGAUCAUGAAGGUGGUUUUCCCAAGGCAUGGCUUAUCCAUUGCACUCCGGAUGUGCUGACCCCCCGCAAUUUCCCCAACGGUGAGAAACUCGACUGCAUAAUCUGUAGUAGUGGAGGACUGCGUUCACUCUCUCCCCUA
RNAcentral lists this small nuclear RNA (165 nucleotides) under Carlito syrichta (Philippine tarsier). Its description in RNAcentral is "U1 spliceosomal RNA (ENSTSYG00000035175.1)". It matches the Rfam family "U1 spliceosomal RNA". From Rfam's summary of the family: U1 is a small nuclear RNA (snRNA) component of the spliceosome (involved in pre-mRNA splicing). Its 5' end forms complementary base pairs with the 5' splice junction, thus defining the 5' donor site of an intron. Lineage: Eukaryota; Metazoa; Chordata; Mammalia; Primates; Tarsiidae. The record is from Rfam by way of RNAcentral.